UACGUAGGGCGCAAGCGUUGUCCGGAAUUAUUGGGCGUAAAGAGCUCGUAGGUGGUUUGUCGCGUCUGCCGUGAAAGCCCGGGGCUUAACUCCGGGUCUGCGGUGGAUACGGGCAGACUAGAGGCAGGUAGGGGAGAACGGAAUUCCCGGUGUAGCGGUGAAAUGCGCAGAUAUCAGGAGGAACACCGAUGGCGAAGGCAGGUCUCUGGGCCAUAACUGACGCUGAGAAGCGAAAGCAUGGGGAGCGAACAGG
Molecule: ribosomal RNA, 253 nt
Filed under: uncultured bacterium
Lineage: Bacteria
Description: partial 16S ribosomal RNA
Rfam family: Bacterial small subunit ribosomal RNA
Source: RNAcentral